AAGUCGUAACAAGGUUUCCGUAGGUGAACCUGCGGAAGGAUCAUUCUUGUAUUAUCUAGUAGUUUAUUGCUCAGGCAAUUUACUUUCUACUAUGUGAACAGUGAAGUAUUUACUUGAUUGCAACAAUGCAAAUAUUUUUUGUGUUGAUUGUGAUUGGGAAAAAUUCAAAACAAAUUUAACAUGAAUACUAUUAUAUAUUUACAAUUGUCUUAACAUAACAACAACAACAAUUAAAAAUACAACUUUUAGCAACGGAUCUCUAGGCUCUC
This 269-nucleotide unclassified non-coding RNA is filed under the name fungal sp. Its description in RNAcentral is "partial internal transcribed spacer region". The stretch from base 1 to 46 matches the Rfam family "Eukaryotic small subunit ribosomal RNA", at positions 1786 to 1831 of the family's 1831-position model. The record is from RNAcentral. Lineage: Eukaryota; Fungi.